Molecule: ribosomal RNA, 498 nt
Filed under: uncultured bacterium
Lineage: Bacteria
Description: partial 16S ribosomal RNA
Rfam family: Bacterial small subunit ribosomal RNA
Source: RNAcentral
GACGAACGCUGGCGGCGUGCCUAAUACAUGCAAGUCGAGCGGACGAAUCGAAAGCUUGCUUUUGAUUCGUUAGCGGCGGACGGGUGAGUAACACGUGGGCAACCUGCCCUGUAGACGGGGAUAACACCGAGAAAUCGGUGCUAAUACCGGAUAACACGAAAUGUCGCAUGACGUUUCGUUGAAAGACGGCGCAAGCUGCCGCUACAGGAUGGGCCCGCGGCGCAUUAGCUAGUUGGUGAGGUAACGGCUCACCAAGGCGACGAUACGUAGCCGACCUGAGAGGGUGAUCGGCCACACUGGGACUGAGACACGGCCCAGACUCCUACGGGAGGCAGCAGUAGGGAAUCUUCCGCAAUGGACGAAAGUCUGACGGAGCAACGCCGCGUGAGCGAAGAAGGCCUUCGGGUCGUAAAGCUCUGUUGUUAGGGAAGAACAAGUAACGCAGUAACUGGCGUUACCGUGACGGUACCUAACGAGAAAGCCACGGCCAACUACGUG